This 484-nucleotide ribosomal RNA is filed under the name uncultured bacterium. RNAcentral's name for it is "partial 16S ribosomal RNA". It matches the Rfam family "Bacterial small subunit ribosomal RNA", at positions 29 to 523 of the family's 1533-position model. The record is from RNAcentral.
AGUGAACGCUGGCGACGUGCUUAACACAUGCAAGUCGAACGAGAACGGAUUAUAGCUUGCUAUAAUUGUCAGCUAAGUGGCGCACGGGUGAGUAAUGUAUAGGUAAUAUGCCUCUUACUAAGGGAUAACAAAUGGAAACGUUUGCUAAUACCUUAUACUCCUUAUUAACAUAAGUUAAUAAGGGAAAGAUUUAUUGGUAAGAGAUUAGCCUGUAUUGUAUCAGUUAGUUGGUGGGGUAAUGGCUUACCAAGACUAUGACACAUAACUGGUUUGAGAGGAUGAUCAGUCACACUGGAACUGAGACACGGUCCAGACUCCUACGGGAGGCAGCAGUGGGGAAUAUUGCACAAUGGACGAAAGUCUGAUGCAGCAACGCCGCGUGGAGGAUGACACAUUUCGGUGCGUAAACUCCUUUUAUAUGAGAAGAUAAUGACGGUAUUAUAUGAAUAAGCACCGGCUAGCUCCGUGCCAGCCGCCGCCGUAA